CACGUAGUUAGCCGUCCCUUUCUGGUUAGUUACCGUCACGUAAUGGAUUUUCCACUCCCAUUACCGUUCUUCUCUAACAACAGAGCUUUACGAUCCGAAAACCUUCUUCACUCACGCGGCGUUGCUCGGUCAGGGUUGCCCCCAUUGCCGAAGAUUCCCUACUGCUGCCUCCCGUAGGAGUCUGGGCCGUGUCUCAGUCCCAGUGUGGCCGAUCACCCUCUCAGGUCGGCUAUGUAUCGUGGCCUUGGUGAGCCGUUACCUCACCAACUAGCUAAUACAACGCAGGUCCAUCUCAUAGUGAAGCAAUUGCUCCUUUUAAAUUUAGUACAUGAGUACUUAAUUGUCAUGCGGUAUUAGCUAUCGUUUCCAAUAGUUAUCCCCCGCUAUGAGGUAGGUUACCUACGCGUUACUCACCCGUUCGCAACUCAUCUGACUAGUGCAAGCACCAGUCUUCAGCGUUCUACUUGCAUGUAUUAGGCACGCCGCCAGCGUGUCCUCGUAGCCACGGUAC
This 511-nucleotide ribosomal RNA is filed under the name uncultured Streptococcus sp. RNAcentral describes it as "partial 16S ribosomal RNA". The record is from RNAcentral. Lineage: Bacteria; Bacillati; Bacillota; Bacilli; Lactobacillales; Streptococcaceae.